Molecule: ribosomal RNA, 423 nt
Filed under: uncultured rumen bacterium
Lineage: Bacteria
Description: bacterial SSU rRNA
Rfam family: Bacterial small subunit ribosomal RNA
Source: RNAcentral
GUGGGGAAUAUUGCACAAUGGGGGAAACCCUGAUGCAGCAACGCCACGUGUGGGAAGAAGCAUUUCGGUGUGUAAACCACUGUCAUGAGGGAAUAAGGCCCGCCUUCGGACGGGAUUGAAUGUACCUUGAGAGGAAGCACCGGCAAACUUCGUGCCAGCAGCCGCGGUAAUACGAGGGGUGCAAGCGUUGUUCGGAAUUACUGGGCGUAAAGGGAGCGUAGGCGGAGAUUCAAGCGGAUUGUACAAUCCCGGGGCCCAACCCCGGUUCUGCAGUCCGAACUGGAUCUCUUGGAUAGUUCAGGGGCAGGCGGAAUUCCUGGUGUAGCGGUGGAAUGCGUAGAGAUCAGGAAGAACACCGAUGGCGAAGGCAGCCUGCUGGGGACUUAUCGACGCUGAGGCUCGAAAGUGCGGGUAGCAAACAGG